Molecule: long non-coding RNA, 524 nt
Organism: Silurus meridionalis
Lineage: Eukaryota; Metazoa; Chordata; Actinopteri; Siluriformes; Siluridae
Exons: 5
Source: RefSeq, a predicted model, not a curated record
GGUGAAUGAAUCGACUCACUGAAAAGGGCUGGAUACCUGCUCUGUUAUAUCACUGCUCUUCUACUUUUCUUUAUUAGAUUAUAGAGAUUUACAGUAUAGGUAACAAAUUAAAGACUCUCAAUUCCUUGUUUUUGUCAGCAUUUAUUCGUUUACUCUAAAUAUAUUUCAUUUUGAGAAGAAAUUUGCCAACCCUGUUGAUUUGAAGAAGGACAAUGAAUGGUAAAGGAUCUACUGCUAGUUGUUCCAGUGGCAACAAUAAAGCCGAAAACACAGGUGAAUUUUGUGAUGAUUCUCCACCAAAGAAGAUGAAGGCGUCUGGUGCUAUCUCAGCCCCGGAGGAUGGGGCUGGCGGGUUUAAAGCAGCAUGGUCAGAUGCUGUCAAAACAUCAAUCUCCUGUUCACAAAAUACUCAGAGGUUCUGCGGUAGGUGCACAGACACGAUCGGAUUCUCCGUCCUCCCUAGUAAAACGAAUCUAUCAUUUAUAAUUCAGUUAUAUUCAUUUAUAAUAAAAUAUAUAACAGCG